Molecule: long non-coding RNA, 275 nt
Filed under: Nicotiana benthamiana
Lineage: Eukaryota; Viridiplantae; Streptophyta; Magnoliopsida; Solanales; Solanaceae
Description: long non-coding RNA (NBEN_LNC023093)
Source: RNAcentral
UUUUUCGUACGCCUCAUCCGUGGUUGGGUGUGGGUCAGCAGGGUUACCCAUAGAUGAUUUGUGUUUUAGCUGAUGUCCCCCAUAUGGCUGUUAGUUAUGGUAGUUACUGUAUGAUAUUAUUGCAUGCGAUUGUAUUUAUGUUUCGUAUGUUUAGAUAAUUAUUACGCUAUUUACGCUAUUUCAGCCAGAGUUACUAAUGCUUUAUUGUUUUGUUUUUGUCUUUGUUUUUGUAUUACUGUUGUUUUUCCUUUUGUCCUAUGAGCCGAGGGUCGAUU